Molecule: RNA transcript, 1122 nt
Organism: Tupaia belangeri chinensis (Chinese tree shrew)
Lineage: Eukaryota; Metazoa; Chordata; Mammalia; Scandentia; Tupaiidae
Gene: RBP5
Gene name: retinol binding protein 5
Exons: 5
Source: RefSeq, a predicted model, not a curated record
CUAUAAAAGCCCUGUGGUGGACCUUCCUGUGUUCUUGGGGAGUCUCUCAGCCUCACCUUUCUCCUGCUUCCUCUGAAACCGUGAGCCCCACCUCGGCCAGCCUCCACCAUGCCUCCCAACCUCACCGGCUACUACCGCUUCGUCUCGCAGAAGAACAUGGAGGACUACCUGCAAGCCCUAAACGUGAGCGUGGCCCUGCGGAAGAUAGUGCUGCUGCUCAAGCCAGACAAGGAGAUCACCCACCAGGGCAACCACAUGACAGUGAAGACGCUCAGCACCUUCCGCAGCUACGUUCUGGAAUUCGAGGUGGGGGUGGAGUUCGAGGAGGACCUGAGCAUCAUGGAUGGACGCAAAUGCCAGACCAUAGUAACCUGGGAGGAGGAGCAGCUGGUGUGCGUGCAGAAAGGCGAGGUGCCCAACCGGGGCUGGAGACACUGGCUGGAGGGAGAGACGCUGUAUCUGGAACUGACUGCGAGGGACGCGGUGUGCCAACAGGUCUUCAGAAAAGUCAAGUAGCAGAGGGCGCCACUCCGUGGACCCUGCUCGCCUGGGCCCCCUUCAAGCCCAGACUGUGGCAGAAAGUCUCAUGUGCUCCACAGAAGCAGGCCCAAGGCAUGGCCUCAUCCACACAGGGGCAAGAGACUCAUCUUCUCCACCAUCAGAGGGCGUUCUGCUAUUUUAUAAUCCAGCCUACUUGUGUAAGGGGAGGGAUGGAGCUAACCAAGACCUUUGCCUGGUGCUGGGGGAGACUUGGACCUCCCGGUAGUGAUCCGGCCUCCACACGUGCCUUGGGAAGAUCAGGCAGCAAGAGGGCCAGAAAAGACUGAAAGGGCAGCAGAUGGGGGCCAAGGCCAAGGGAUAAGAAGAUGAGGGGCGUGGGGGCAUGGAGGUGACAGCAGGGAAAAGACCAGCAGGCUUGGCUAGGGGAGCCUCUGCUUACAGGCCAGCAGACUGGGGACAGCAGGUAUUAGGGAGAGCCAGGGACCACAAAGUCUUCCCCUAGGAUUCCAGAGGCUGCCCAGGGAAAGGGCCCAAAAGGGUGGGCUGGUUCAGGGUCAGGGCCAGCCCCCCUUCCCUGCCUCCAGGGGCUUAGUUCUCUCAGAAUAAAAGCCCAAUGCCUAA